CUACGGGAGGCACCAGUGAGGAAUAUUGCACAAUGGGGGAAACUCUGAUGCAGCAACGCCGCGUGGAGGAUGACACUUUUCGGAGCGUAAACUCCUUUUAUAUAGGAAGAAGAUGACGGUACUAUAUGAAUAAGCGCCGGCUAACUCCGUGCCAGCAGCCGCGGUAAUACGGAGGGCGCAAGCGUUACUCGGAAUCACUGGGCGUAAAGAGCGUGUAGGCGGAUUAAAAAGUCAGAAGUGAAAUCCUAUAGCUUAACUAUAGAACUGCUUCUGAAACUCUUAAUCUAGAAUAUGGGAGAGGUAGAUGGAAUUUCUGGUGUAGGGGUAAAAUCCGUAGAGAUCAGAAGGAAUACCGAUUGCGAAGGCGAUCUACUAGAACAUUAUUGACGCUGAGACGCGAAAGCGUGGGGAGCAAACAGGAUUAGAUACCCUCGUAGUC
This 439-nucleotide ribosomal RNA is filed under the name uncultured bacterium. RNAcentral's name for it is "partial 16S ribosomal RNA". It matches the Rfam family "Bacterial small subunit ribosomal RNA", at positions 339 to 795 of the family's 1533-position model. The record is from RNAcentral.